GCAGAAUACUGCCAAUGGGAAGAUAGAAGUCAAGCCAACCAUUCUUGAUGUUCUUCCCAAAUCUGCUUCUGGCACACCUUAUAUCUCUGGACCUAACAGUGUCUGUGGCAGUGAAAGGACUGCUAAUGGAGAUGCCUUAAUUGAGAGAGACAAAUCCAUUAAAUCUGCACAAUGUUGCCUUCCAAGCUUGAUUUCUCGAUGUAGUGCCGGUGAGAGGAAGAAGAAGAUGAGUCCAGCUCCGGCUAUUGCUGUAAAUGAUAAAGCCUAAUUUUUGCUAUCUUUAAUGCAAUAUAAAUGGAAAAUGCUAGGAUUUCAAUCCCCCCGAGGUCAUAAGAUAUAUGCAUCCAACCUCACUACAAUCGGAUUGUGCAAGUACAAUGGAACUUUUCUUAUGUGGAUUGAGGGCAUAUGUAAAGCUACAAUGGUAGAGAUGUAUAAUGUCAAACGCCAGGAAUUUUCUUUGUAUCUCAAGGUGAAGUUACCUCCUGAAGUUCCUAGAUUUUGUUUAGCUCUAGAGGGAAAUUGAUUUCCGAAGAUAUUUUCUGCAAUAAGAGAAGAUCAUAAAUUGCCCUUGUAAUGAUACCUAAGUUAUGGAGGAAAAUGUACUAAAUUUGCAUUCUCCUUUUUUUGUUAAACGUAAUUAAGG
Molecule: unclassified non-coding RNA, 646 nt
Filed under: Hevea brasiliensis (rubber tree)
Lineage: Eukaryota; Viridiplantae; Streptophyta; Magnoliopsida; Malpighiales; Euphorbiaceae
Source: RNAcentral